This 233-nucleotide long non-coding RNA is filed under the name Lathyrus oleraceus (garden pea). RNAcentral describes it as "Pisum sativum (pea) long non-coding RNA (PSAT_LNC029818)". The record is from RNAcentral. Lineage: Eukaryota; Viridiplantae; Streptophyta; Magnoliopsida; Fabales; Fabaceae.
UUUAAGAGCAGACGCCAAUUCAUCUGACAUCUCCUCUUCAAAAUGGGAUAGAUUGAAUUUUUUUUUGAAAACAAAGUUAUUUAGAGAUUUUUUUUGAAAAACAGGAGUAUUUGAAUAAAUUGUUUGAAACUUGUGUCCUACAAAUAAAACUUGAGAGGAGGUCGGAUCAUAACACAUCGAAAGAAAUUUCAUUAAGAAUCAUUCAUGCAUAAUUCCUAUAACUCUCAUUUACU